RNAcentral lists this ribosomal RNA (460 nucleotides) under uncultured bacterium. RNAcentral's name for it is "partial 16S ribosomal RNA". It matches the Rfam family "Bacterial small subunit ribosomal RNA", at positions 338 to 795 of the family's 1533-position model. The record is from RNAcentral.
CCUACGGGUGGCAGCAGUGAGGAAUAUUGGUCAAUGGACGAGAGUCUGAACCAGCCAAGUAGCGUGAAGGAUGCCUGCCCUAUGGGUUGUAAACUUCUUUUAUAUGGGAAUAAAAUGUUCCACGUGUGGGAUUUUGUAUGUACCAUAUGAAUAAGGAUCGGCUAACUCCGUGCCAGCAGCCGCGGUAAUACGGAGGAUCCGAGCGUUAUCCGGAUUUAUUGGGUUUAAAGGGAGCGUAGGUGGAUUGUUAAGUCAGUUGUGAAAGUUUGCGGCUCAACCGUAAAAUUGCAGUUGAAACUGGCAGUCUUGAGUACAGUAGAGGUGGGCGGAAUUCGUGGUGUAGCGGUGAAAUGCUUAGAUAUCACGAAGAACUCCGAUUGCGAAGGCAGUUCACUGGACUGCAACUGACACUGAGGCUCGAAAGUGUGGGUAUCAAACAGGAUUAGAUACCCGAGUAGUC